GACGAACGCUGGCGGCGUGCUUAACACAUGCAAGUCGAACGGAAAGGCCCUGCUUUUGUGUGGUGCUCGAGUGGCGCACGGGUGUGUAGCACGUGAGUAUCCUGCCCUUUACGUUGGGAUAACUUCAGGAAACUGGGGCUAAUACCGGAUAGGAGCUCCUGCUGCAGGGUGGUGGUUGGAAAGUUUCGGUGGUUGGGGAUGGACGCGCGGCUUAUCAGCUUGUUGGUGGGGUAGUGGCUUACCAAGGCUUUGGCGGGUAGCCGGCAUGAGAGGGUGGCCGGGCACAUUGGGACUGAGAGACGGACCAGACGCGUACGGGAGGCAGCAGUGGAGAAUAUUGCACAAUGGGGGGAAGCCUGAUGAAGCAACGCCGCGUGCGGGAUGACGGCCUUCGGGUUGUAAACCGCUGUAGCCUGUGACGAAGCGUGAGUGACGGUAAUGGGUAAAGAAGCACCGGCUAACUACGUG
RNAcentral lists this ribosomal RNA (468 nucleotides) under uncultured bacterium. RNAcentral describes it as "partial 16S ribosomal RNA". It matches the Rfam family "Bacterial small subunit ribosomal RNA", at positions 28 to 507 of the family's 1533-position model. The record is from RNAcentral.